UUCUCGGUGGCGCAAUGGUAGCGUGUAGGUUUCCGGUUCUCAUGCUGCGAAUCUACCUAAGGCUGUGGGUUCGAGUCCCAUCCGGGAAG
Non-coding RNA from Xylariomycetidae sp. FL0641, 89 nucleotides. The record is from the annotation of a GenBank genome assembly. NCBI's taxonomy places the organism in Eukaryota, Fungi, Ascomycota, Sordariomycetes.